RNAcentral lists this ribosomal RNA (314 nucleotides) under Streptomyces baarnensis. Its description in RNAcentral is "bacterial SSU rRNA". It matches the Rfam family "Bacterial small subunit ribosomal RNA", at positions 122 to 437 of the family's 1533-position model. Lineage: Bacteria; Bacillati; Actinomycetota; Actinomycetes; Kitasatosporales; Streptomycetaceae. The record is from RNAcentral.
CAAUCUGCCCUUCACUCUGGGACAAGCCCUGGAAACGGGGUCUAAUACCGGAUAACACUCUGUCCCGCAUGGGACGGGGUUAAAAGCUCCGGCGGUGAAGGAUGAGCCCGCGGCCUAUCAGCUUGUUGGUGGGGUAAUGGCCUACCAAGGCGACGACGGGUAGCCGGCCUGAGAGGGCGACCGGCCACACUGGGACUGAGACACGGCCCAGACUCCUACGGGAGGCAGCAGUGGGGAAUAUUGCACAAUGGGCGAAAGCCUGAUGCAGCGACGCCGCGUGAGGGAUGACGGCCUUCGGGUUGUAAACCUCUUUC